This 73-nucleotide transfer RNA is filed under the name Sus scrofa (pig). It matches the Rfam family "tRNA". From Rfam's summary of the family: Transfer RNA (tRNA) molecules are approximately 80 nucleotides in length. Lineage: Eukaryota; Metazoa; Chordata; Mammalia; Artiodactyla; Suidae. The record is from Rfam by way of RNAcentral.
UCCCUGGUGGCCUAGUGGUUAAAGAUCUGGCAUUGUCACUGCUGUGGCUCAGGUUCAAUUCUUGGCCCAGGAA